AUAUCACUAAGCGGAGGAAAAGAAAUUAACUAAGAUUGCCUCAGUACCGGCGAGGGAACUGGCAUCAGCUCAAACUUAAAAUCUGAAGUCUACGACUUCCGAAUUGUAAUCUAAAGGGUAUGUCUAAAGGCUGGAUUGUAGUAUAAGUUUCCUGGAACGGAGCACCAAAGAGGGUGAAGGCCCCGUGCAGUGAUUUCUCGAACAAGGGGACUCGAACAAGAGUCGUGUUGCUUGGAACUGCAGCACUAAGAGGGAGAUAUGAUUCUUCCAAAGCUAAAUAUGGAUGGGAGACCGAUAGCGCACAAGUA
Molecule: ribosomal RNA, 308 nt
Filed under: uncultured eukaryote
Lineage: Eukaryota
Description: partial large subunit ribosomal RNA
Rfam family: Eukaryotic large subunit ribosomal RNA
Source: RNAcentral